AUGGCACUGACUAAGUCCGUAUCCCAGGAGAAACAAAUAAUUCUGAUGCCUUUUGGAACUCCCUUGUACGAGUCUUCGCCAGCGUGUUGUGGCACUGUCCUAGGAACAGACCAGGAAGUAAACGGAAAAACUUGCAUACAUGGCAAUAGCAAGAAGGAGGCAUCAAGACUCUCUCAGCAGAGUCCUUUGGAGGAAUGGAGACUUUUCAGUGCUGUUGCUGCAGACUCUUGGGAAAUCUGA
This 240-nucleotide long non-coding RNA is filed under the name Struthio camelus australis. Its description in RNAcentral is "lncRNA (ENSSCUG00000000925.1)". The record is from RNAcentral. Lineage: Eukaryota; Metazoa; Chordata; Aves; Struthioniformes; Struthionidae.